AUGUUGCCAUUAUUUGGGCUUGGUCUGUGUAUGCCAAGUCUAGCUCUAGUGUGUCAUCCUAGGCACUCGUGUAAAAAAAAAAAAAAAAAAAAAAAAAAAAAAACUGGGCAACCAGUAAUUGCUGUUGAUUAAUUUUUAUUUAAAGACACAUUGUUCUUAUCAUCUUCCCCAUUUAACCGUCCAAACGAGCUCUAAUCUCCGAAAUUAACAAGAAUCAUGCACGAUUAACUGUAAUUAUGUUAGGGCUUAUGUAGUUUAGGUCUAGAUGAAAAAGGCAUACAAGAAUCAAACCUGGAAGAGCUCGGAUUGAAUGACAAGAGGGUUGGUCAGAGAAUAAAGUUUUCCGGCGAGGCAAAAGAGGUCACAUAGACGAUUUGAAUAUAACUGUAAGUUAUGGCGACGAGUUAAAACAGGUAUACGGUCCCUAUUAAUACUAAUCUAGUCGGUUAACGUAUCAUCAGAAUCUUAAUGGAGAUUUGCGGGUUGUUGUGAGUUCCGGAUAAACAUCAAAUCGAACGAUUCAUGGGAUAAUGCUUGUAGUUGGUUAGGAUAAUGAUGGAGAUAAGAGAUAAUGCAAGAAUAACGGACGAAUUACUAGCGGGUUAAGGACUUCCGGGUCGCCGGUCGGAACUUCGAAGAGCAGAUAAGGAAACCGCAGGUCACAUAAACGUAAACUUUUGGAGAAAGCCGACUGACUAUCAAAGAUCUUGUACAUCUGGAAACAAGCCAUAUUUGUGCACAAAUGAAGGAGUUUCAUAGUUUUCAAGCAGUGGUAAUCCGGGAACCGAAACGACUGAGUCUGUCAAUGGGACAGUGAGAAGCUUUCUAUUGACAUGAUAAUAGAUGCUAUUCACAGCACAAGUUUGAGUAAAGAAGGCAACUCCCAUCAACCUGAAUCUUUUCGCGACAUCAAGGGCCCAUGGCAAAAAACCGUCAUAAAUAAUGACAUUGGGACGAUCUAGUUGUAGAACAAGGUCAGAUAAUGAUUUUGGUCCCACUUCCCGAAGCUUUGGAAAGAAAACUUCUGGCGGCACGAUUUCAUCCGGGCCAUUGUCAUCAA
Molecule: long non-coding RNA, 1060 nt
Filed under: Helianthus annuus (common sunflower)
Lineage: Eukaryota; Viridiplantae; Streptophyta; Magnoliopsida; Asterales; Asteraceae
Source: RNAcentral